Oreochromis aureus is the source of this 442-nucleotide long non-coding RNA. The record is from Ensembl. Lineage: Eukaryota; Metazoa; Chordata; Actinopteri; Cichliformes; Cichlidae.
CAUGCGAUAGUUCGGGCUGACUUAUAUUCCAACAUAGGAAGUGUUAUAAACAGCUGAUCGGAUCGGCAAAGCCUGUUUCUGGAAUAUUGUGUUUUUGUUGCUGCAAGUCUGGAAUAUUAUGUUUUUGUUGCUGGAAGUGCUUUUUAUGCAAUUUUUUGCAAAGCUAUAUGUGGAAGAAAACCGUGACCUAGGGCAAGCUAAUGGAAUAAGAUAUGGCAGGAGUGACGCCCACUGUGGUCUUCUGCUGCUGCUUCAUCCGUUUUAAGGUUCAACUUGACACCCACGUGUGCUCUUCUGCAAACCUUGGCUGUAUCAGCGCUCAGAGCAAGUGACUGUGAUGGGCUGUCAAACCGCAUCUAAAGUACUCUACCAAAGAAUAAUAUCCACUCCUGACCUACUCUGAAGAAAAAUAUUUCAUUCGAUCAAUGUCGCAGUCUCCCCC